UUGCUGGCGACCGGCGCACGGGUGAGUAACACGUAUCCAACCUGCCGAUGACUCGGGGAUAGCCUUUCGAAAGAAAGAUUAAUACCCGAUGGCAUAGUUCUUUCGCAUGGUAGAACUAUUAAAGAAUUUCGGUCAUCGAUGGGGAUGCGUUCCAUUAGGUUGUUGGCGGGGUAACGGCCCACCAAGCCUUCGAUGGAUAGGGGUUCUGAGAGGAAGGUCCCCCACAUUGGAACUGAGACACGGUCCAA
This 248-nucleotide ribosomal RNA is filed under the name uncultured bacterium. RNAcentral's name for it is "partial 16S ribosomal RNA". It matches the Rfam family "Bacterial small subunit ribosomal RNA", at positions 85 to 334 of the family's 1533-position model. The record is from RNAcentral.